Molecule: ribosomal RNA, 253 nt
Filed under: uncultured bacterium
Lineage: Bacteria
Description: partial 16S ribosomal RNA
Rfam family: Bacterial small subunit ribosomal RNA
Source: RNAcentral
GACAGAGGGUGCAACCGUUGCUCGGAAUUACUGGGCGUAAAGCGCGUGUAGGCGGUUUCGCAAGUCGGGUGUGAAAGCCCAGGGCUCAACCCUGGAAGUGCACUUGAUACUACGGAGCUUGAGUUCUGAAGAGGAGAGCGGAAUUCCCGGUGUAGAGGUGAAAUUCGUAGAUAUCGGGAGGAACACCAGUGGCGAAGGCGGCUCUCUGGGCAGAAACUGACGCUGAGACGCGAAAGCGUGGGGAGCAAACAGG